GGGUAGCUCAGUCGGUAGAGCAUGAAGCUUUUAAUCUCAAGGUCGUGGGUUCAAGUCCCAUGUUGAGCA
Podarcis lilfordi (Lilford's wall lizard) is the source of this 69-nucleotide non-coding RNA. The record is from the annotation of a GenBank genome assembly. NCBI's taxonomy places the organism in Eukaryota, Metazoa, Chordata, Lepidosauria, Squamata, Lacertidae.